Molecule: ribosomal RNA, 253 nt
Filed under: uncultured bacterium
Lineage: Bacteria
Description: partial 16S ribosomal RNA
Rfam family: Bacterial small subunit ribosomal RNA
Source: RNAcentral
UACGAAGGGGGCUAGCGUUGCUCGGAAUCACUGGGCGUAAAGGGCGCGUAGGCGGCGUUUUAAGUCGGGGGUGAAAGCCUGUGGCUCAACCACAGAAUGGCCUUCGAUACUGGGACGCUUGAGUAUGGUAGAGGUUGGUGGAACUGCGAGUGUAGAGGUGAAAUUCGUAGAUAUCGGGAGGAACACCGGUGGCGAAGGCGGCGACCUGGGUAGAUACUGACGCUGAGGUGCGAAAGCGUGGGGAGCAAACAGG